GACCCUGUAGUGAAGUUCAUAGUGAGUUGCAAACUCAUUGAUGCGCAUUAAAGUGUGCCUGGGUCUUGU
Molecule: transfer RNA, 69 nt
Filed under: Lophophorus impejanus (Himalayan monal)
Lineage: Eukaryota; Metazoa; Chordata; Aves; Galliformes; Phasianidae
Description: tRNA-Cys
Source: RNAcentral